This 1785-nucleotide long non-coding RNA is filed under the name Homo sapiens (human). RNAcentral describes it as "long non-coding RNA NONHSAT203516.1". The record is from RNAcentral. Lineage: Eukaryota; Metazoa; Chordata; Mammalia; Primates; Hominidae.
CUGCUACACCAGCUGAAUGCCCUGUUGGAACAGGAGUCUAGAUGUCAGCCAAAGGUCUGUGGUUUGAGACUAAUUGAGUCUGCACACGAUAAUGGCCUCAGAAUGACUGCAAGACUAAGGGACUUUGAAGUAAAAGAUCUUCUUAGUCUAACUCAGUUCUUUGGCUUUGACACAGAGACAUUUUCUCUAGCUGUGAAUUUACUGGACAGAUUCCUGUCUAAAAUGAAGGUACAGCCCAAGCACCUUGGGUGUGUUGGACUGAGCUGCUUUUAUUUGGCUGUAAAAUCAAUAGAAGAGGAAAGGAAUGUCCCAUUGGCAACUGACUUGAUCCGAAUAAGUCAAUAUAGGUUUACGGUUUCAGACUUGAUGAGAAUGGAAAAGAUUGUAUUGGAGAAGGUGUGUUGGAAAGUCAAAGCUACUACUGCCUUUCAAUUUCUGCAACUGUAUUAUUCACUCCUUCAAGAGAACUUGCCACUUGAAAGGAGAAAUAGCAUUAAUUUUGAAAGACUAGAAGCUCAACUGAAGGCAUGUCAUUGCAGGAUCAUAUUUUCUAAAGCAAAGCCUUCUGUGUUGGCAUUGUCUAUCAUUGCAUUAGAGAUCCAAGCACAGAAGUGUGUAGAGUUAACAGAAGGAAUAGAAUGUCUUCAGAAACAUUCCAAGAUAAAUGGCAGAGAUCUGACCUUCUGGCAAGAGCUUGUAUCCAAAUGUUUAACUGAAUAUUCAUCAAAUAAGUGUUCCAAACCAAAUGUUCAGAAGUUGAAAUGGAUUGUUUCUGGGCGUACUGCACGGCAAUUGAAGCAUAGCUACUACAGAAUAACUCACCUUCCAACAAUUCCUGAAAUGGUCCCUUAACUGGAUUAUUACAGCACCAAAAAACUUCUCUGAAGCCUUUCUCCACAACCUUGUUCUAUGGAUUCCAUAAUGUUACAAUGGAUUUAAGCUAUGAAGCCUCAAAACAUCACGAGAUAAGCAUGAUGGUCUCAGACUUGGGAAAACUGCCUAAUAUUAUGCUGUAGUGGAAUUAUGUUUAGAUUUGAAUUCAUCUGUGAAGCAUUCAAAUCAAAGCUAAAAGCCUAAAUGUGAAAUGCUAAUGACAAGCCUGAGAAGAAAACAGGUGACAUUUGUAUCUACGAUAAAAAUUUUUAUACAGAACCUACUGCCUCAAACUGAAUCCCAUCAAGAAAACUAGUUUCUAUUGUAUUAGUAACUCAAAAUAAAUUAUCACUUCGAAAACUUGCUUUCCCACACUAAGGUAAGUUCAGACUAGAUUGAACACUCCAGAAUUUUUUACUACAGACUGUUUUUAAGUUAGAAGUGAUGGCAAUUUUAUAAAUAGAGAAUAUACUUCCACUGAUGCCCUUACUGUGCCAAAACAAAAAUCUUAAGAAAAGCAAGUAGACACCUUCAUAACUAUGAAUGAAGCUGCUGAAGUAGUGUUUAGGAUCCUCCAUGGCAGUUAGUGAAUGUAAGAAGUACAGUGUUAAAGUGUUGUAAACAGUUACUCAGUGCAAUGUAUAGCCUGAGUCUAUCCAUGAUGGCUAUAUCCAAUUUGACAUCACGUUAUGGAUCAGUACACAAUGAAAAACCAAAGAACCACAGUAUAUCUUAUUCUUAACUUUUGUAAACCAUGUUUUAUGGGUAACUUUUUAGUUUUCCCAAAAGGCUGAUAAAUUUCAAUAUUUUGAAUACAUCAUUGUUAAUUUUGAGUUGGCAGAGGUAAACUAACCAACUACCAUUAUGUUUUAGUACUAAGGGAUAUACCUUUCAAUAAAGUUAAUGAAAUUC